Molecule: long non-coding RNA, 738 nt
Filed under: Accipiter nisus (Eurasian sparrowhawk)
Lineage: Eukaryota; Metazoa; Chordata; Aves; Accipitriformes; Accipitridae
Description: lncRNA (ENSANIG00000010086.1)
Source: RNAcentral
UACCACCCCACCACACACACACAAUACCUUUCACCCCACUCCAAAUGCCAGAACGAACACAAUCCGUGUGUUUGAACAUAAGGCAUCCAGGCUCAGGUUGAGGGAAAGCCAUGCAGCACACUGAUCACAUGCAGCAAGCUGAUCUUCUGCUGCAGUUUUUGUUUAAAACCUGAUUAUUUGUGCAGGCUGGAUUCUGAAACAUUUGGUUUGGAGCUGGACAAGCAGAACAGACAAACUGGAUGAUUGCCCGGUGUGCUACAACAAAGGCAGAGAAAGAAGGAGCCUCUGGUAUCAUUCAAGUGCUGGACUGUUUUUUUCAGUCUCAACCAGAUGAACCAGGUGCUCUUCGAUCUCUGAGCCUUCUAAUGAUCUUGCAAUGAUACUGACUCUUUUGUCUCCCGGUUGGAAGAAUCGUCCGUUUGCCUUGCAGCAGGAGAAGAGUUCGGUUCUAAAUUUGGGAUGACUUGUUCAAAAGCUACUUUCGUUUCACCUCUGAGCUACAGUCUGCCCUUUAAAUUCUGAACAUUUAUUUUGAUUUUUGUGAAGACUGAAUGUCUUCUGACAUGAGGAAGAGGGUCAUAUAUGAGCAUUAAUUAAAUUAAAUUGUAUCUGGGAAGUUUAGUCUUGUUUAAUGGCUUUGUUCAGUUAUUCUACCUGUUCAUUAUCUUUACAUAAACAUUAAAAUCAUACAAUCAUUAAAUUUUCUCUUCUAAAAUAAAGGAAAUUCUUAUAAGAAAU